This is a long non-coding RNA of Amblyraja radiata (thorny skate), 183 nucleotides long. RefSeq lists it as uncharacterized. Lineage: Eukaryota; Metazoa; Chordata; Chondrichthyes; Rajiformes; Rajidae. The transcript is spliced from 3 exons. The record is from RefSeq and is a predicted model, not a curated record.
UUGUACCAAAUGACAGGAUGCCUUUGAUGCAACUGAUGAUUGACAAGAGUCACAUCCUGUAGUAAUGUGUAUUUACUGUACCUCUGACCAUGACUAAUGUCUUUGGAAUGUGCUUAGGUGACAAAAGAACAGUAUAAAAUACCAUGUAAUUCUGUGUUCAGGGAAGUGGAGAGUGGAGCCAAG